AGAAUGACUUUUCUGCCUCUCCCUAGCAAAAGAAGACCUCUACCCUGUACCAAUCCAGAACCCUGGGUACCAGUUGGUUUGCAGUCCCUCUGUAUUAGUAGAUGUUUUUGCAUAAUAUCAGUGCACUGUAGAGGUAGAUUUCCGUCAAUGAUAGCAGACCUAUGCCUAAAAUCAAGGUAGAGACUGGGAAAGAGGCAGGAUCUGUACACCUGUGCUACCAAAUGGGUUCAUGAUUUUUGUG
This 241-nucleotide long non-coding RNA is filed under the name Homo sapiens (human). Its description in RNAcentral is "HSALNT0102616". Lineage: Eukaryota; Metazoa; Chordata; Mammalia; Primates; Hominidae. The record is from RNAcentral.